AGAGUUUGAUCCUGGCUCAGAUUGAACGCUGGCGGCAGGCCUAACACAUGCAAGUCGAGCGGCAGCGGGAAAGUAGCUUGCUACUUUUGCCGGCGAGCGGCGGACGGGUGAGUAAUGCCUGGGGAUCUGCCCAGUCGAGGGGGAUAACUACUGGAAACGGUAGCUAAUACCGCAUACGCCCUACGGGGGAAAGCAGGGGACCUUCGGGCCUUGCGCGAUUGGAUGAACCCAGGUGGGAUUAGCUAGUUGGUGAGGUAAUGGCUCACCAAGGCGACGAUCCCUAGCUGGUCUGAGAGGAUGAUCAGCCACACUGGAACUGAGACACGGUCCAGACUCCUACGGGAGGCAGCAGUGGGGAAUAUUGCACAAUGGGGGAAACCCUGAUGCAGCCAUGCCGCGUGUGUGAAGAAGGCCUUCGGGUUGUAAAGCACUUUCAGCGAGGAGGAAAGGUUGGUAGCUAAUAACUGCCAGCUGUGACGUACUCGCAGAGA
This 491-nucleotide ribosomal RNA is filed under the name Aeromonas sp. AKB-2008-4192A. Its description in RNAcentral is "bacterial SSU rRNA". It matches the Rfam family "Bacterial small subunit ribosomal RNA", at positions 8 to 487 of the family's 1533-position model. The record is from RNAcentral. Lineage: Bacteria; Pseudomonadati; Pseudomonadota; Gammaproteobacteria; Aeromonadales; Aeromonadaceae. RNAcentral also lists the same sequence under 3 other names.